This 1256-nucleotide long non-coding RNA is filed under the name Fragaria vesca (wild strawberry). Its description in RNAcentral is "long non-coding RNA (FVES_LNC004780)". The record is from RNAcentral. Lineage: Eukaryota; Viridiplantae; Streptophyta; Magnoliopsida; Rosales; Rosaceae.
GUUUAGGGCGUACAUGAUUGAUUCAGUUGCUGUUUUUGGAACUUUGGUAACUUAAGAAUCGAUCUCCAGUGUUAGCUUCCCGUUCAAUUUUGGUACCUCAACCAACUAAAGGUCUUACUGUUCGAGCUAUAAGCAUCCGCAUUAGGAAAAAAAUAAGAAGUAGCUAGCUUGGCAGAAAUUGCAUGUAGAUAUAGUUUGCUUCAAAACCAAUUAACUUCAUUGGUGAUUUACUUUAUACACAUAGUUCGAUCAUCGUUUGUGCAUGCAAGCCUUGUUCGAUCAGUUCAUUUUUAUUCUUCACUCUCAUCUAAUUAAACGAAACUUCACUUGCCAAUAUUCACAUAUCGAUGAGAUGAGAAAACUGAACAGAUAUAUAUACACACCAGCUAAUACUAGCUCUCAUGCACGUUCUGCAAAUUCAUGAAUCUCAUUUAACUCCAGCCUCAAAGGAAGCAGUGUGCGCCUCGAUCUCAGUUGACGUCGGCGCGCUUGUCUACAAAGCACUCGUACUAACUGAAAACCCUCCCCUAUGAUAUAGAUGAUGUACAUCAUAUACGGUAGAUGGUUCCAAGAGUCUGGGAGCAAAAUUGAAAGCAGUGAAGCAACCAAGAGCAAACCAGAAAACAACAUGCCAAAUCUAGACCAAAUACGAGCUCUAGCAGCUGGAAACCUCACCCUAACCCCAACUAUCAAGCAAUAUGCAAGUAAGCUUCCUAUCGCGACAACAGUGGCGUUGCGAUGUGUUUCGAAUGGAGAAGACAGGAAUGAAAUUCCAGGGAACUUAAUUUGAAUAAAGGCGACGAGUAUGGGGACGAUGAAGGCGAGAAUGGCAUGACUGGAAGUGGAAGCUGCGAGAUUGAUUAGGAGAAUGUUGAAGGUGACUGUAAAGGAUUAUGUUCGUGUACGAUAAGGGUUUGGUGCAUUUGAUACUGAAGAUCAGCCAUGUAUAUGAGAGCUAGCUAUCUGGUUUUCAGUAACGAGUAAUAUACGUCGUCGAAGCAAAAUCUCUUGGAAUAUUUAUAGACCAACUUAGAACUUAGAAGGCAAAAGGAGAUAAUAUGAUGAGUCAUGAUUUUAGAAUCACUUUGCCACUAUAUAACUUAAGACACUUUCUUGAUUCUUUCAGGUAGAGGAAGUCAAGCAACAAAUCAUAAAUUAUAUUGCAGGCUCACGUAUAUACAGUCGACUGUACGCACAAUUGCUUCUUCAUUUCGUGCAAUCUUACUUUUCAUGCAAGUAGCUUGGGCAAAGAUAAG